UACGUAGGGUGCAAGCGUUGUCCGGAAUUAUUGGGCGUAAAGAGCUCGUAGGCGGUUUGUCGCGUCUGCUGUGAAAAUCAGGGCCUAACCCUGGACCUGCAGUGGGUACGGGGCAGACUGGAGUGCGGUAGGGGAGAUCGGAAUUCCUGGUGUAGCGGUGAAAUGCGCAGAUAUCAGGAGGAACACCGGUGGCGAAGGCGGAUCUCUGGGCCGUAACUGACGCUGAGGAGCGAAAGCAUGGGGAGCGAACAGG
RNAcentral lists this ribosomal RNA (253 nucleotides) under uncultured bacterium. RNAcentral describes it as "partial 16S ribosomal RNA". It matches the Rfam family "Bacterial small subunit ribosomal RNA", at positions 524 to 776 of the family's 1533-position model. The record is from RNAcentral.